Chelonia mydas (Green sea turtle) is the source of this 295-nucleotide long non-coding RNA. RefSeq lists it as uncharacterized. Lineage: Eukaryota; Metazoa; Chordata; Testudines; Cheloniidae. The transcript has 3 exons. The record is from RefSeq and is a predicted model, not a curated record.
GGACUCUUUUUGGACUCUCCCUCUGGAUACAUCUUGCAGUCCUCACCGUCAGACAGAAGAUUUGGCCAUCGGAAGCCUGCCGCUGUGCCACUCGAGAGCCACACUCAGCUUUGGCAUCCAGAAAUCAUCAUUCCUGUUAAAAGACCUUGGACCAGACGUGAAGCUGGCAUAAAUCAGUGCCACUCCAUUGAAGUCAAACAUCAGCUGAGGAACUGGCCCCUGAGAUUUACAGCCAUAAAGAGGGUCUGGACCAUUUUGCAUUGUGCUUGAACAGUUCGAGAUGAGGGAAGAGCAG